Molecule: unclassified non-coding RNA, 264 nt
Filed under: plant metagenome
Description: partial contains small subunit ribosomal RNA, internal transcribed spacer 1, and 5.8S ribosomal RNA
Source: RNAcentral
UUUCCGUAGGUGAACCUGCGGAAGGAUCAUUAUUGUAUAACCGAGGCGCGAGGGCUGUCGCUGACCCGAAAGGUCAUCCACGCCCGAGUGCCCUCACACACAUCCAUCUCACCCCUAUGUGCACCACCGCGUGCGUCCCCCUUUGGCUUGUUCGGAGGUGGGUCUUACGUUUUAACACAAACUUUGUAUGCAGUGUAGAAUGUAUUUUUUGUUUUUGCGAUCACGCAAUCAAUACAACUUUCAACAACGGAUCUCUUGGCUCUC